GCAAGUCGAACGAGGUAGCAAUACCUAGUGGCGCACGGGUGAGUAACGCGUGGAUAAUCUGCCCUUCACUGGGGAAUAACUAAUCGAAAGGUUAGCUAAUACCGCAUGAGGCCACAGUUUCUGAGGAAGCAGUGGUUAAAGAUUUAUUGGUGAAGGAUGAGUCUGCGUGGGAUUAGCUAGUUGGUGAGGUAAUGGCUCACCAAGGCUACGAUCUCUAACAGGUCUGAGAGGAUGACCUGUCACACUGGAACUGAGACACGGUCCAGACUCCUACGGGAGGCAGCAGUAGGGAAUAUUGCGCAAUGGACGAAAGUCUGACGCAGCGACGCCGCGUGAGUGAUGAAGGCCUUAGGGUCGUAAAGCUCUGUUGCAGGGGAAGAAAAAAAUGACGGUACCCUGCGAGAAAGGAUCGGCUAACUUCGUGCCAGCAGCCGCGGUAAGACGAGGGAUCCUAGCGUUGUUCGGAAUCAUUGGGCGUAAAGCGCAUGUAGGCUGCCAUUCAAGUCAGUUGUGAAAGCCCCGGGCUCAACCCGGGAAGUGCUUCUGAUACUGUUUGGCUUGAGUACUAGAGAGGAUAGUAGAAUUCCAGGUGUAGUGGUGAAAUACGUAGAUAUCUGGAGGAAUACCGGUG
RNAcentral lists this ribosomal RNA (631 nucleotides) under uncultured bacterium. Its description in RNAcentral is "bacterial SSU rRNA". It matches the Rfam family "Bacterial small subunit ribosomal RNA", at positions 57 to 714 of the family's 1533-position model. The record is from RNAcentral.